GGAAGAAGAGAAGUUGGAGAGGAGGAGAUGAGGCCAUGAAAGAAGGGAUGAGCUUUUGGAAGAGAAGAAAGAUGAAGAAGAAUGAAAGGAGUUACCCAUUUGUAGGCCAAUAAGAAGGGAGAUGGCUUUUUCACUGGAGGAAACUUGUAGUGCUAGCUAGAAGUAAAAGCAUCUUUGAUUGUUUUCUUUUCAAUGGAUUUUAUUGGAUUAGCCUGCUAUUAUUAUUAUCUGUUUGCUG
Molecule: unclassified non-coding RNA, 238 nt
Filed under: Hevea brasiliensis (rubber tree)
Lineage: Eukaryota; Viridiplantae; Streptophyta; Magnoliopsida; Malpighiales; Euphorbiaceae
Source: RNAcentral